AGGCACCACGUGCGUGCCUAGUAAGUAGCAAAGGAGAUAAGCAGACGUCGUCGAAUCUCACAGAACUGGAUUUACAGACGGUUGUGAGACUCCAUAUGAGAACUGGGAUUUGAACCCCCGAUCCUCAGGGCUCUUAACCUAGGUCUCACUAUGUAGCCUCUGCUGGCCCGGAACUUGCUGUGUACCAGACUGACCUUGAAUUUUCGAGACUAUUGGGAUUAAUGACGUGGACUACCUACCUCUCCUGGCUAGCCCGCCAGUGUUUAAUUUGCUGUGUUCAUCACUUUCCUCAUCCUCAGGAGGGUAUCUCGUUACUAAGGCAACGGAGAAUGAUUGUGUUGUUUGCACCCGUUGUGGAGGA
RNAcentral lists this long non-coding RNA (361 nucleotides) under Cricetulus griseus (Chinese hamster). Its description in RNAcentral is "lncRNA (ENSCGRG00015037107.1)". Lineage: Eukaryota; Metazoa; Chordata; Mammalia; Rodentia; Cricetidae. The record is from RNAcentral.